GACGAACGCUGGCGGCGUGCCUAAUACAUGCAAGUUGAGCGCUGAAGGUUGGUACUUGUACCAACUGGAUGAGCAGCGAACGGGUGAGUAACGCGUGGGGAAUCUGCCUUUGAGCGGGGGACAACAUUUGGAAACGAAUGCUAAUACCGCAUAAAAACUUUAAACACAAGUUUUAAGUUUGAAAGAUGCAAUUGCAUCACUCAAAGAUGAUCCCGCGUUGUAUUAGCUAGUUGGUGAGGUAAAGGCUCACCAAGGCGAUGAUACAUGGCCGACCUGAGAGGGUGAUCGGCCACAUUGGGACUGAGACACGGCCCAAACUCCUACGGGAGGCAGCAGUAGGGAAUCUUCGGCAAUGGACGAAAGUCUGACCGAGCAACGCCGCGUGAGUGAAGAAGGUUUUCGGAUCGUAAAACUCUGUUGGUAGAGAAGAACGUUGGUGAGAGUGGAAAGCGCAUCAAGUGACGGUAACUACCCAGAAAGGGACGGCUAACUACGUG
Molecule: ribosomal RNA, 497 nt
Filed under: uncultured bacterium
Lineage: Bacteria
Description: partial 16S ribosomal RNA
Rfam family: Bacterial small subunit ribosomal RNA
Source: RNAcentral